RNAcentral lists this microRNA (18 nucleotides) under Tribolium castaneum (red flour beetle). RNAcentral's name for it is "tca-miR-3814-3p". Lineage: Eukaryota; Metazoa; Arthropoda; Insecta; Coleoptera; Tenebrionidae. The record is from miRBase by way of RNAcentral.
UAGCAUGAGCGUUUGUUG